RNAcentral lists this long non-coding RNA (6049 nucleotides) under Homo sapiens (human). Its description in RNAcentral is "HSALNT0398109". The record is from RNAcentral. Lineage: Eukaryota; Metazoa; Chordata; Mammalia; Primates; Hominidae.
AGCACAGAGGGAGGAAAGACAGCAGAACUGGCAGUCACAGUAGCUCUGAUCAUCCUGGAGCUAAGCUCCUCUCCACAGAAGAGAAGCAGGCAGCAGAGACCAUGAGGCCCCCCUCAGCCCCUCCCCGCAGAGGAUGCAUCCCCUGGCAGGGGCUCCUGCUCACAGUUCACAGGCUCAUGGGCAAAAGGGACUUGCCUUGUCUCAGAAGAGACUUGGGACUUUGGACUUUACUGGUAAUGCUGGAAAGAGGUAAUGGACUGUUGGAAAACCAUUGUUACAUUUUGAAAUGUGAGAAAUGUCAGGCCUCUGAGCCCAAGCCAAGCCAUCGCAUCCCCUGUGACUUGCAUGUAUAUGCCCAGAUGGCCUGAAGUAACUGAAGAAUCACAAAAGAAGUGAAAAGGCCCUGCCCCGCCUUAUCUGAUGACAUUCCACCAUUGUGAUUUGUUCUUGCCCCACCUUAACUGAGUGAUUAACCCUGUGAAUUUCCUUUUCCUGGCUCAGAAGCUCCCCCACUGAGCACCUUGUGACCCCCGCCCCUGCCCACCAGAGAACAACCCCCUUUGACUGUAAUUUUCCAUUACCUUCCCAAAUCCUACAAAACGGCCCCACCCCUAUCUCCCUUUGCUGACUCUCUUUUCGGACUCAGCCCACCUGCACCCAGGUGAAAUAAACAACCAUGUUGCUCACACAAAGCCUGUUUGGUGGUCUCUUCACAUGGACGCGCAUGAAAUUUGGUGCCAUGACUCGGAUCGGGGGACCUCCCUUGGGAGAUCAAUCCCCUGUCCUCCUGUUCUUUGCUCCGUGAGAAAGAUCCACCUACAACCUCAGGUCCUCAGACCGACCAGCCCAAGGAACAUCUCACCAAUUUUAAAUCAGGUAAGCGGUCUCUUCUUACUCUCUUCUCCAACCUCUCUCACUGUCCCUCAACCACUUUCUCCUUUCCACUCUUCAAUCUCUCCCUUCUCUUAAUUUCAAUUCCUUUCAUUUUCUGGGAGAGACAAAGGAGACAUGUUUUAUCCGUGGACCCAAAACUCCGGCGCCGGUCACAGACUGGGAAGGCAGCUUUCCCUUGGUGUUUAAUCAUUGCAGGGACGCCUCUCUGAUUAUUCACCCACGUUUCAAAGGUGUCAGACCACGCAGGGACGCCUGUCUUGGUCCUUCACCCUUAGCGGCAAGUCCCGCUUUUCUGGGGAAGGGGCAAGUACCCCAACCCCUUCUCUCCUUGUCUCUACCCCUUCUCUGCUUUUCUGGGGAAGGGGCAAGUACCCCAACCCUUCUCUCCUUGUCUCUACCCCUUCUCUGCUUUUCCGGGGGUGGGGCAAGUACCCCAACCCCUUCUCUCCUUCUCUCCACCCCUUCUCUGCUUUCCUGGGGCAGGGGCAAGUACCACUCAACCCCUUCUCCUUCACCCUUAGCGGUAAGUCCCGCUUUCCUAGGGGGCAAGAACCCCCCAAUCGCUUAUUUCCAUGCCCCAACCUCUUAUCUCUGCGCCCCAAUCGCUUAUUUCCAUGCCCCAACCUCUUAUCUCUGUGCCCCAAUUGCUUAUUUCCGCGCCCCAACCUGUUAUCUCUGUGCCCCAAUCCCUUACUUCCAUGCCCCAACCUCUUAUGUCUGCACCCCAAUCCCUUAUUUCCAUGCUCCGACCCUUUCUCUGCUUUUCUGGUGGGCAAGAAACCCCCACCCCUUCUCCAUGUCUCUACUCUUUUCUCUGGGCUUGCCUCCUUCACUAUGGGCAAGCUUCCACCUUCCAUUCCUCCUUCUUCUUCCUUAGCCUGUAUUCUUAAGAACUUAAAACCUCUUCAAUUCUCACCUGACCUAAAAUCUAAGCAUCUCAUUUUCUUCUGCAAUGCCGCUUGACCCCAAUACAAACUGGACAGUAGUUCCAAAUAGCCAGAAAACGGCACUUUCAAUUUUUCCAUCCUAUAAGAUCUAAAUAAUUCUUGUCGUAAAAUGGGCAAAUGGUCUGAGGUGCCUGACGUCCAGGCAUUCUUUUACACAUCAGUCCCUUCCUAGUCUCUGUGCCCAGUGCAACUCGUCCCAAAUCUCCCGCCUGUCCCCUCAGUCCCAACCCCAAGCGUCGCUGAGUCUUUCUAAUCUUCCUUUUCUACAGACCCAUCUGACCUCUCCCCUCCUUGCCAGGCCAAGCUAGGUCCCAAUUCUUCCUCAGCCUCCGCUCCUCCACCCUGUAAUCUUUUUAUUGCCUCCCCUCCUCACACCUGGUCCGGCUUACAGUUUCGUUCCGUGACUAGCCCUUCCCCACCUGCCUAGCAAUUUACUCUUAAAAAGGUGGCUGGAGCUAAAGGCAUAGUCAAGGUUAAUGCUCCUUUUUCUUUAUCCCAAAUCAGAUAGCGUUUAGGCUCUUUUUCAUCAAGUAUAAAAAUCCAGCCCAGUUCAUGGCUCGUUUGACAGCAACCCUGAGACGCUUUAUAGCCCUAGACCCUAAAAGGUCAAAAGGCCAUCUUAUUCUCAAUAUACAUUUUAUUACCCAAUCUGCUCCCGACAUUAAAUAAAACUCCAGAAAUUGGAAUCUGGCCCUCAAACCCCACAACAGGACUUAAUUAACCUCACCUUCAAGGUGUGCAAUAACAGAAAAAAGUUGCAAUUCCUUGCCUCCACUGUGAGACAAACCCCAGCCACAUCUCCAGCACACAAGAACUUCCAAACGCCUGAACCAUAGCAACCAGGCGUUCCUCCAGAACCUCCUCCCCCAGGCGCUUGCUACACGUGCCGGAAAUCUGGCCACUGGGCCAAGGAAUGCCCGCAGCCUGGGAUUCCUCCUAAGCCGCGUCCCAUCUGUGUGGGACCCCACUGAAAAUCGGACUGUUCAACUCACCUGGCAGCCACUCCCAGAGCCCAAGGAACUCUGGGCCCAAGGCUCUCUGACUGACUCCUUCUUGGCUUACCGGCUGAAGACUGACGCUGCCUGAUCACCUCAGAAGCCCCGUAGACCAUCACGGACGCCGAGCUUUAGGUAACUCUCACGGUGGAGGGUAAGUCCAUCCCCUUCUUAAUCAAUACGGAGGCUACCCACUCCACAUUACCUUCUUUUCAAGGGCCUGUUUCCCUUGCCUCCAUAACUGUUGUGGGUAUUGACAGCCAGGCUUCUAAACCUCUUAAAACUCCCCAACUCUGGCGCCAACUUAGACACUACUCUUUUAAGCACUCCUUUUUAGUUAUCCCCACCUGCCCAGUUCCCUUAUUAGGCUGAGGCACUUUAAGUAAAUUAUCUGCUUCCCUGACUAUUCCUGGACUACAGCUAUAUCUCAUUGCCGCCCUUCUUCCCAAUCCAAAGCCUCCUUUGCGUCCUCCUCUUGUAUCCCCCCACCUUAACCCACAAGUAUAAGACACCUCUACUCCCUCCUUGGCGACUGAUCAUGCACCCCUUACCAUCUCAUUAAAACCUAAUCACCCUUACCCCACUCAACGCCAAUAUCCCAUCCCACAGCACGCUUUAAAAGGAUUAAAGCCUGUUAUCACUCGCCUGCUACAGCAUGGCCUUUUAAAGCCUAUAAACUCUCCUUACAAUUCCCCCAUUUUACCUGUCCUAAAACCAGACAAGACUUACAAGUUAGUUCAGGAUCUGUGCCUUAUCAACCAAAUUGUUUUGCCUAUCCCCCUUGUGGUGCCCAACCCGAACACUCUUUUGUCCUCAAUACCUUCCUCCACAACUCACUAUUCCGUGCUUGAUCGUAAAGAUGCUUUUUUCACUGUUCCCCUGCACCCCUCGUCCCCGCCUCUCUUUGCUUUCACUUAGACUGACCCUGACACCCAUCAGGCUCAGCAAAUUACCUGGGCUGUCCUGCCGCAAGGCUUCACAGACAGCCCCCAUUACCUCAGUCAAGCCCAAAUUUCAUCCUCAUCUGUUACCUAUCUCGGUAUAAUUCUCACAAAAACACACGUGCUUUCCCUGCUGAUCAUGUCUGAUUAAUCUCCCAAACCUCAAUCCCUUACAAAACAACAACUCCUUUCCUUCCUAGGCAUGGUUAGUGUGGUCAGAAUUCUUACACAAGAGCCAGGACCGCACCCUGUAGCCUUUCUGUCCAAACAACUUGACCUUACUGUUUUAGCCUAGCCCUCAUGUCUGUGUGCAGCGGCUGCCGCUGCUUUAAUACUUUUAGAGGCCCUGAAAAUCACAAACUAUGCUCAACUCACUCUCUACAUUUCUCAACUUCCAAAAUCUAUUUUCUUCCUCAUACCUGACGCAUACACUUUCUGCUCCCCGGCUCCUUCAGCUGUACUCACUCUUUGUUAAGUCCCACAAUUACCACUGUUCCUGGCCCGGACUUCAAUCUGGCCUCCCACAUUAUUCCUGAUACCACACCUGACCCCCAUGACUGUAUCUCUCUGAUCCACCUGCUAUUCACCCCAUUUCCCUGUAUUUCCUUCUUUCCUAUUCCUCACCCUGAUCACGCUUGAUUUAUUGAUGGCAGUUCCACCAGGCCUAAUCGCCACAUACCAGCAAAUGCAGGCUAUGCUAUAGUACAAGCCACUAGCCUGCCUCUCAGAACCUCUCAUUUCCUUUCCAUCGUGGAAAUCUAUCCUCAAGAAAAUAACUUCUCAGUGUUCCAUCUGCUAUUCUACUACUCCUCAGGGAUUAUUCAGGCCCCCUCCCUUCCCUACACAUCAAGCUCGAGAAUUUGCCCCCACCCAGGACUGGCAAAUUAGCUUUACUCAACAUGCCCGAGUCAGGAAACUAAAAUACCUCUUAGUCUAAAUAGACACUUUCACUGAAUAAGUAAAGGCCUUUCCUACAGGGUCUGAGAAGGCCACCACAGUCAUUUCUUCCCUUCUGUCAGACAUAAUUCCUCAGUUUAGCCUUCCCACCUCUAUACAGUCUGAUAGCAGACCAGCCUUUAUUAGUCAAAUCAGCCAAUUAGUUUUUCAGGCUCUUAGUAUUCAGUGAAACCUUUAUAUCCCUUACGGUCCUCCGUCUUCAAGAAAAGUAGAACGGACUAAAGGUCUUUUAAAAACACACCUCACCAAGCUCAGCCACCAACUUAAAAAGGACUGGACAAUACUUUUACCACUUUCACUUCUCAGAAUUCAGGCCUGUCCUCAGAAUGCUACAAGGUACAGCCCAUUUAAGCUCCUGUAUAGAUGCUCCUUUUUAUUAGGCCCCAGUCUCAUUCCAGACACUGGACCAACUUAGACUGUGCCCCCAAGAAAACUUGUCAUCCCUACUAUUUUCUGUCUAGUCAUAUUCCUAUUCUCCAUUCUCAACUACUCACACAUGCCCUGCUCUUGUUCACACUGCCAGUUUACACUGUUUCUCCAAGCCAUCACAGCUGAUAUCUCCUCGUGCUAUCCCCAAACUGCCACUCUUAACUCUUGAAGUAAAUAAAUAAUCUUUGCUGGCAGGACUAUGCUGAAUCUCCUUAGGCACUCUCUAAUCAGAUGUCCUAGGUCCUCCCAAUUCUUAGACCUUUUAUACCUGUUUUUCUCCUUCUUAUUCCAUUUAGUUUUUCAAUUCACACAAAACUGUAUCCAGGCCAUCACCAAUCAUACUAUAUGACAAAUGUUUCUUCUAACAACCCCACAAUAUCACCCCUUACCACAAGAUCUCCUUUCAGCUUAAUCUCUCCCACUCUAGGUUCCCACCCGCCCCUAAUCCCGCUUGAAGCAGCCCUGAGAAACAUCGCCCAUUCUCUCUCCAUACCACCCCCCAAAAAUUUUCGCCACCCCAACACUUCAACACUAUUUUGUUUUAUUUUUCUUAUUAAUAUAAGAAGGCAGGAAUGUCAGUCCUCUGAGCCCAAGCCAAGCCAUCGCAUCCCCUGUGACUUGCACGUAUACGCCCAGAUGGCCUGAAGUUACUGAAGAAUCACAAAAGAAGUGAAAAGGCCCUGCCCCGCCUUAACUGAUGACAUUCCACCAUUGUGAUUUGUUCCUGCCCCACCUUAACUGAGUGAUUAACCCUGUGAAUUUCCUUCUCCUGGCUCAGAAGCUCCCCCACUGAGCACCUUGUGACCCCCGCCCCUGCCCACCAGAGAACAACCCCCUUUGACUGUAAUUUUCCAUUACCUUCCCAAAUCCUAUAAAAUGGCCCCAU